AUGCAUGGCACGGCAGGAGACCCAGAAGCAGGGCAGCCAAAUCUCCUUGAGGGCAUUUGCUACGCAAGCCAACAAGGAAACGGAGCCGUAGACCAGUCAGUCGGACCUGCAGGGAGGAGAAGGUGGGGGGCUGCGACGACCUUGCUGAGCGCUGUCAGCGUGCGGAAGUCGAAGGGGACUGCUCUGUUAGCCAGGAGGCUGGCAGGUCGUCCUGGACAUUGGAGGGAAACGGAAGCCAAGAAGGAAAAUGUGUUAGCGGGAGGGCAACUCUCCCACCUGCAGUAUCUGGAAGAAACGACAGUCAGCUUGGCCUCAGGCUGGCCUGACUUCCCACUCAGCCGGUUUUUUAGAGACUUGAAAGCCAGCAAGAACUCCUUCUUUGCAGAAGUAGCUGCCAGGGUUCCAAGGUAAGUCGAAUAACAUCCCUUUCCUAAGUGGACCAGGUGCUGGUUUCACAAGUGGACGUGUAUCCUCUGGACUAAACUGUGUGUUCCUAAUGUGCGCAAGGAGGGUUUGUGAGGAGAGGGAGCAAGUCUAGGUUGGUGACCAUGGGCAGCCUCUCAGAGGUGGUGGCAUUUGAGCUGAGACUUGAAUGGACAUUCAACCAUAAGCAAAUCUGGGGAAACAGAGUUCCAGAGGAAACAACAAAGGAAAAGGCUCACGUGGGAAUGAAUUUGGCCAUUUCUAGGAAAGGUGGAAGCCUGGGAGGUCUUUUUCUGGGAUAAAUUCCCACAACGGGGUGACAGGAACAAAGGUUAUGAUAAAUUUUUACAAGAUUUUAUUUAUUUGAGAGAAAGAGACAAAGAGCAGGGAGAGGGGCAGGAGAGGGAGAGAGAGAAUCUUAAGCAGGUUCCACACCCAGCACAGAGCCCCAUGCAGGGCUUGAUCUCACGACCCUGAGACCAUGACCCAAGAGUUGGGUGCUCAACUGACUGAGCCACCCAGGCUUCUCAGUUAUAGACUGUUUUAUGACUUUUGAUACACACACAUACAUAUAUAUGGCUGGCUUCUUUUCCAAAUGUAUAUAGGAUCAUGUAUCCAAUUGCUAACAGUUGUUGUUCCUGAGGCGUGGGAUUCAGAGGCUGACAUGAGGAGAAAAGGGGCUUUGAAGUUUCCAUCUUCUGCAUGAUUAGAAUUUUGGCUAUAUAUUUUGGUAUAUAUCAUUUGUAAAACUUAAAGUGACCUAAUGUUUUAGAAUAUUGGUAACAAGCAGGGUGGUAGAUAUAGUGUUCUAUUAUUCUAAAUAUCAUAUAUGUAUUAUGUGAAUUCCAUUAUUAGUAAGAAAUAUUUCAUAGCAAAAAUUUGAUUUUUAAAAAGUGUAUUAAUUUAGUAUUAAUUUAUACACCACCAGGUAGCUCUAAAUGUGACAGUUUCAC
RNAcentral lists this long non-coding RNA (1376 nucleotides) under Ailuropoda melanoleuca (giant panda). Its description in RNAcentral is "lncRNA (ENSAMEG00000023672.1)". The record is from RNAcentral. Lineage: Eukaryota; Metazoa; Chordata; Mammalia; Carnivora; Ursidae.